This 433-nucleotide ribosomal RNA is filed under the name uncultured bacterium. RNAcentral describes it as "partial 16S ribosomal RNA". It matches the Rfam family "Bacterial small subunit ribosomal RNA", at positions 30 to 507 of the family's 1533-position model. The record is from RNAcentral.
AACGAACGCUGGCGGCAUGCCUAACACAUGCAAGUCGAACGAGACCUUCGGGUCUAGUUGCGCACGGGUGCGUAACGCGUGGUAAUCUGCCCUUGGGUUCGGAAUAACAGUUGGAAACGACUGCUAAUACCGGAUGAUGACGUAAGUCCAAAGAUUUUUCGCCCAAGGAUGAUCCCGCGUAGGAUUAGCUAGUUGGUGAGGUAAAGGCUCACCAAGGCGACGAUCCUUAGCUGGUCUGAGAGGAUGAUCAGCCACACUGGGACUGAGACACGGCCGAGACUACGACGGGAGGGAGGAGUGGGGAAUAUUGGAAAAGGGGGGAAAGGAUGAUAGAGCAAUGAGGGGUGAGUGAUGAAGGACUUAGGGUAGUAAAGCUCUUUUACAAGGGAAGAUAAUGACAGUAACGGGAGAAUAAGCACCGGCUAACUACGUG